AGCGAACGCUGGCGGCGUGGCUUAGGCAUGCAAGUCGAGCGAGAAAGCGGGGGCAACCCCGUGAGUAAAGCGGCGAAAGGGUGAGUAAUAUAUCGACAAUCUACCCUCAGGACCGGGACAACGGCUGGAAACGGCCGCUAAUACCGGGUGGUCCUGCAACGGGGCAUCCCGUUGCAGGUAUACGGUGGGGACCUUCGGCCUUCUGCCUGGGGCGGAGUCGAUAUCCUAUCAGCUAGUUGGCGGGGAAUGCCACCAAGCGACGACGGGUAGCCGGACUGAGAGGUUGGCCGGUCGACACUGGGACUGAGACACUGCCCAGACUCCUACGGGAGGCUGCAGUCGCGAAUAUUCCGCAAUGGGCGCAAGCCUGACGGAGCGACGCCGCGUGUGGGAUGAAGGCCU
Molecule: ribosomal RNA, 402 nt
Filed under: uncultured bacterium
Lineage: Bacteria
Description: bacterial SSU rRNA
Rfam family: Bacterial small subunit ribosomal RNA
Source: RNAcentral